This 482-nucleotide ribosomal RNA is filed under the name uncultured bacterium. RNAcentral describes it as "partial 16S ribosomal RNA". It matches the Rfam family "Bacterial small subunit ribosomal RNA", at positions 30 to 507 of the family's 1533-position model. The record is from RNAcentral.
AUUGAACGCUGGCGGCAUGCUUUACACAUGCAAGUCGAACGGUAACAGCACUUCGGUGGCUGACGAGUGGCGAACGGGUGAGUAAUACAUCGGAACGUGCCUAGUAGUGGGGGAUAACUACUCGAAAGAGUAGCUAAUACCGCAUGAGAUCUAAGGAUGAAAGCAGGGGACCUUCGGGCCUUGCGCUACUAGAGCGGCUGAUGGCAGAUUAGGUAGUUGGUGGGAUAAAAGCUUACCAAGCCGACGAUCUGUAGCUGGUCUGAGAGGACGACCAGCCACACUGGGACUGAGACACGGCCCAGACUCCUACGGGAGGCAGCAGUGGGGAAUUUUGGACAAUGGGCGCAAGCCUGAUCCAGCAAUGCCGCGUGAAGGAUGAAGGCCUUCGGGUUGUAAACUGCUUUUGUAAGGAACGAAAAGCCCUCUUCUAAUACAGGAGGGUCAUGACGGUACCGUAAGAAUAAGCACCGGCUAACUACGUG